RNAcentral lists this long non-coding RNA (411 nucleotides) under Homo sapiens (human). Its description in RNAcentral is "HSALNT0051578". The record is from RNAcentral. Lineage: Eukaryota; Metazoa; Chordata; Mammalia; Primates; Hominidae.
GCCCUCCCUAAUGUGGGUGUGUCUCAUCCAGUAGAACAAAAAGGCUGAGUAAGAAAUAAUUUCUUCUGCCUGACUGCCUUCAAGCUGGGACAUUGGUCUUUUCCUGCCUUCAACUCAAAUGGAAACAUUGGCUCCUUUUGGGUCUUGAGCCUGAUGACUUUCAGAAUAAAACUUCAACUAUUGCCUCUGCUGGUUCUCAGGACUUCAAACUUGGAAAGGAUUUAUACCAUCGGCUCUUUGGGUUUCCAGCUUGCUGAUCACAGAUCUUGGGACUUGUUAGCCUUCAUAAUCAUUGGCCUGGGCACACAGUGAAGCAGAAGAAGAAAAAGAAGGGGAGCACCAAUAUAUGUCAGACACUGUGGUGGGAACUUUACCUAUGUUGUCUCUCUUAAUACCAACAAGGCAGCAAGG